AGCCGGAAUCGCUAGUAAUCGCGGAUCAGAAUGCCGCGGUGAAUACGUUCCCGGGUCUUGUACACACCGCCCGUCACACCAUGGGAGCCGGUAAUGCCCGAAGUCUGUGGCCCAACCGAGAGGGGGGAGCAGCCGAAGGCAGGCCCGGUGACUGGGGUNAAGUCGUAACAAGGUACC
This 177-nucleotide ribosomal RNA is filed under the name uncultured bacterium. RNAcentral describes it as "partial 16S ribosomal RNA". It matches the Rfam family "Bacterial small subunit ribosomal RNA", at positions 1324 to 1500 of the family's 1533-position model. The record is from RNAcentral.